GACGAACGCUGGCGGCGUGCUUAACACAUGCAAGUCGAACGGAAAGGCCCUGCUUGCAGGGUGCUCGAGUGGCGAACGGGUGAGUAACACGUGGGUGAUCUGCCCCUUACUUUGGGAUAAGCCUGGGAAACUGGGUCUAAUACUGGAUAGGACCAUGCUGUAGGUGGUGUGGUGGAAAGAUUAGUUUCGGUAAGGGAUGAGCUCGCGGCCUAUCAGCUUGUUGGUGGGGUAAUGGCCUACCAAGGCGUCGACGGGUAGCCGGCCUGAGAAGGUGGACGGCCACAUUGGGACUGAGAUACGGCCCAGACUCCUACGGGAGGCAGCAGUGGGGAAUAUUGCACAAUGGGCGCAAGCCUGAUGCAGCGACGCCGCGUGGGGGAUGACGGCCUUCGGGUUGUAAACUCCUUUCAGCCAUGACGAAGCCCUUGUGGUGACGGUAGUGGUAGAAGAAGCACCGGCUAACUACGUG
RNAcentral lists this ribosomal RNA (469 nucleotides) under uncultured bacterium. RNAcentral describes it as "partial 16S ribosomal RNA". It matches the Rfam family "Bacterial small subunit ribosomal RNA", at positions 28 to 507 of the family's 1533-position model. The record is from RNAcentral.